CUCCUUUUCUCCUUCUGCUCUAACAGCCUUAGCUUGUGGCGGCUUUGUUGCCUCAUGCCUCCAAGAUGGCUGCUCCACCUCAAGCCUCCUGUUUGUGGAGCAGGCAGGAAAAAGAAGAAAGAGAGGAAGGCAGGAAAGGAGAACAGAGAAAGGAGAAAGGCACGUGGGAGGGAAAGGCAGGGCCUGUGUGAGGAGGGGAAAUACUUCCCCAACUCACUAGCGGACUUUCUGUGAGUCAUGUCUCAUGACAAGAAACGGUUACAUGGCCACUCCCAGCUGCAAAGGAGUCGAGAAAGAAUCUCCAGAACAGCCUACAUGACUCUGUUUUACAUUUCAUGAGAUGGCAUUCAUGCUUCACUCCCAGCCUUUCUCUUUCUCAGUCUUGUGUUAUCAAGCACCUUGGAUAGAGGUGGACAUUACCAUCUGGAUGCCCAUCAUUGCUUCAGACUCCUCAGGUACGAGGAAAUGUGUUCCAGGGAAGCAGCAUGGAAAACUGGCCUAGGAGUCACGAGUUCUAAGGUCUGCUGCGUGACUGUGGGUAAGUCACUUUCUCUCCAGUUUACAGCUUUCUCACUGAUGAAAUGAGAGCUUAGAUUAAGUAAUAUCUUACUUCAUCACUUUCCCAUCUUUCCCCAGAUUGGUUUCUCUCCUAGAUUUUUUUCUUGUUAGUCAUGCCGCCAUUCUCUCAAUUACCCAGUCCUUAGAGGUGUCUUGAACUGUUCUUCACCAACUCUCCCUCUUUCCUGCCCACAGCUUUUCCACUCCACAACACGUGCUAUUGCUUUUUCCUUCUUGUUGAUUUCCACAGCUUUCCAUUUCAGUCCCGCAGC
RNAcentral lists this long non-coding RNA (830 nucleotides) under Equus caballus (horse). RNAcentral describes it as "lncRNA (ENSECAG00000052339.1)". The record is from RNAcentral. Lineage: Eukaryota; Metazoa; Chordata; Mammalia; Perissodactyla; Equidae.